UGAGGAAUCUUCCACAAUGGGCGAAAGCCUGAUGGAGCAACGCCGCGUGCAGGAUGAAGGCCUUCGGGUCGUAAACUGCUUUUAUAAGUGAAGAAUAUGACGGUAACUUAUGAAUAAGCACCGGCUAACUACGUGCCAGCAGCCGCGGUCAUACGUAGGGUGCAAGCAUUAUCCGGAGUGACUGGGCGUAAAGAGUUGCGUAGGUGGUCAAGUUAGUGAAUAGUGAAAUCUGGUGGCUCAACCACACAGACUAUUAUUCAAACUGCUUGACUCGAGAGUAGCAGAGGUAACUGGAAUUUCUAGUGUAGGAGUGAAAUCCGUAGAUAUUAGAAGGAACACCAAUGGCGUAGGCAGGUUACUAGGCUAUUUCUGACACUGAGGCACGAAAGCGUGGGGAGCGAACG
Molecule: ribosomal RNA, 404 nt
Filed under: uncultured prokaryote
Description: bacterial SSU rRNA
Rfam family: Bacterial small subunit ribosomal RNA
Source: RNAcentral